Mastomys coucha (southern multimammate mouse) is the source of this 164-nucleotide small nuclear RNA. RefSeq annotates it as U1 spliceosomal RNA. The transcript has a single exon. The record is from RefSeq and is a predicted model, not a curated record. Lineage: Eukaryota; Metazoa; Chordata; Mammalia; Rodentia; Muridae.
AAACUUACCUGGCAGAGGAGAUACCAUGAUCACAAAGGUGGUUUUCUCAGGGCAAGGCUUAUCCAUUGCACUCCAGAUGUGAUGACCCCUGCGAUUUCCCCAAAUGCGGGAAACUUGACUGCAUAAUUUGUGGUAGUGGGGGACUGCGCUCACGCUCUCCCCUA